Molecule: non-coding RNA, 1012 nt
Organism: Misgurnus anguillicaudatus (oriental weatherfish)
Lineage: Eukaryota; Metazoa; Chordata; Actinopteri; Cypriniformes; Cobitidae
Source: RefSeq, a predicted model, not a curated record
AGGACCAAAGAGUGUAAUUUCUCCAGAAUUGAGCCUCUAUGGUGUGAUGUUUGGUCAGCUGUCUCUUGUACUAUGAAGAACUGCAAUGGAAGAAGAGACAGUGCUUGAUUCGGCAGGUGAACUGCACCUAUUUUAUGGUGGAGCAACUUUUUCAAGAGGAAAUUGUUGACAAUGUCACAGAGGAUGAUGGUGUGGUCGUGGUGCCAGAGAUCUAUUGUCCUUUGUCAGACCAAAAGCCUUUGAUAUCACCAUUGAAUGUCUAGGAGUUAUACCAACAGACACUCGAUGUCAUCCAAAGACUCUGCUCCAUUUAAAUUGUAAAAGUCAUUUUCAGGUUUACAAGAUACAAAAGCUGGUUCACAGAUGUACCUUUCCUUUAAAACUAUUUCCCACCUGUAAUCACAAUGGAGACACAUCUCUGACUGCUGGGCUUCCCCUCUUAUUGUGUUCAGAUUCAUAUGCAUCUGCAGGGUUAUUCAUGGCAACACUUUAUAGCGUUGUGCUGGUAAUUUAUCUUUAUAUAUCAUGCCUUCUCACUACAUCUGUCAGCCUGUGCUUUACAUAUCUGAGAGUCAACGCAGCUAAACAUGAAGGACAAAUGCAAUGCAAGACGUUAUGCAUGUUAUAUAUCGGCAUAUGGAUGAUUAGAUUAGAAACUGCUUUCUGUUGGUGUGUUUAAACAUCACAUGACAUAGAAAAUUAACUGUCCUCCAUUUUCCUCCUUAGAUUUAAUUUGUACUUUAGACGUCAAUGGGAACUAUGGGACGUCUAAUGGGAAUGUGAACUAUCCCUUUAAGACUCUGUAAACCAUUCAGAUGCAUGUAAAAUUAUUAACAACUGUUAAACAGCAUCUAUAAAUGAUAAAAAAGACAUUACUAUUGGGAGAAACAUUUUGUCUAGACAUUUGAGUUCAUUUCAACUGACACUCUGUAAAAGUAAGCAUCAUGUUGCACUGCUGUUUCCAUUCCUUCUUUAAAUUCAUUUGCAUGGCCUUCGAUGCAUGCAUGUGUGA